This is a long non-coding RNA of Salvia miltiorrhiza (redroot sage), 700 nucleotides long. RefSeq lists it as uncharacterized. The transcript is spliced from 3 exons. Lineage: Eukaryota; Viridiplantae; Streptophyta; Magnoliopsida; Lamiales; Lamiaceae. The record is from RefSeq and is a predicted model, not a curated record.
AUAAUGACAAUAAUACUUUACUUUGUCUUUGCACCUUUCUUGCAUUGUUAUGCUGUGAUUCUUAAUUCAUGAGAAUAAUUUCUCACUAUGUGCUAAACGAAAGCAUUAUUUUCUGCAACUUGAUUUCUUUUAUUUUUUAGCAGCACCGUAUUAUUAGAUUGCCCCUUACGUAUUCUAACAAGGUAGUGAAGUAUAGUAGAUGGUAUAUAAUAUUUGUGUUUAUUGGCACCCGUUGGAAAGAAACCUCGACAUUCUAUUGGACCAAUGCUUGACACUAUUGUUCUAGAAACUCAAAACCAGAAUCACACAGAUACUGAUUCUGACUUGGAUGAAUAAUUCUCUGAUAACAAUUCGGGAAACAGUGAUAGUGCUAAUGAUCAGAUACAAAAUGGUGAAGAUUAUGCCAAUAAUCAAGAUGAGAGAAGAAAUCAAUAACUCGGAUGAGAACAAUAUGAAUAUUCGUUUAGAUGAUAUGCAUCUCUCCAGGAACAAAGGAAAAGUGCAACAAAGAAAAGCAAGAGGAGGUCAAAAUGAUGUUGAAUUUUCAUUGUCGCUUAUAAGAUUUACAUUCUUGCAUAGUUAGAUAAUUUAGACUUUGAUAUUUGAUGUUAGAUAUUUGAAUGAUAUGUUAUUUUUCAAUUUGACAUUUACACAAAAUUUAUUUUUAUAUUUAACUAAUUGAUAUGCUUAUUUCAUUCGA